This 243-nucleotide long non-coding RNA is filed under the name Vigna radiata. Its description in RNAcentral is "long non-coding RNA (VRAD_LNC011375)". The record is from RNAcentral. Lineage: Eukaryota; Viridiplantae; Streptophyta; Magnoliopsida; Fabales; Fabaceae.
GAGGAGAAGGCAUGGUGAUUGACGUUGGGCGGACCUGAGGGAAACUGCCCGACGGUGGCGAUUGCCGCCGGGCGGUUUGGAGGAUUAUGGGAGACAGCCGGGCGACACACUUAAACUGCCCAGCGGUGGCUCGCUGGACUUGGGCCUGUUUUCUGAUGCGUUCCUUACCUAUAAAUACCCCUUUUGCGAGUUCAGAGUCAUUCUUUUGACAGGGGAAGACGGCCAGACCUAAUUUUGCUCUCU